UAGGGAAUCUUCCACAAUGGACGCAAGUCUGAUGGAGCAACGCCGCGUGAGUGAAGAAGGUUUUCGGAUCGUAAAGCUCUGUUGUUGGUGAAGAAGGAUAGAGGCAGUAACUGGUCUUUAUUUGACGGUAAUCAACCAGAAAGUCACGGCUAACUACGUGCCAGCAGCCGCGGUAAUACGUAGGUGGCAAGCGUUGUCCGGAUUUAUUGGGCGUAAAGCGAGCGCAGGCGGAAUGAUAAGUCUGAUGUGAAAGCCCACGGCUCAACCGUGGAACUGCAUCGGAAACUGUCAUUCUUGAGUGCAGAAGAGGAGAGUGGAACUCCAUGUGUAGCGGUGGAAUGCGUAGAUAUAUGGAAGAACACCAGUGGCGAAGGCGGCUCUCUGGUCUGCAACUGACGCUGAGGCUCGAAAGCAUGGGUAGCGAACAGGAUUAGAUACCCUGGUAGUCCAUGCCGUAAACGAUGAGCGCUAGGUGUUGGGGACUUUCCGGUCCUCAGUGCCGCAGCAAACGCAUUAAGCGCUCCGCCUGGGGAGUACGACCGCAAGGUUGAAACUCU
RNAcentral lists this ribosomal RNA (557 nucleotides) under uncultured bacterium. Its description in RNAcentral is "partial 16S ribosomal RNA". It matches the Rfam family "Bacterial small subunit ribosomal RNA", at positions 355 to 903 of the family's 1533-position model. The record is from RNAcentral.